AGUUCCAAACCAUCCUGGGACCCUGUCUCUAAACAACAACAAAAGAAGCCACUGUGUAUGAACACACCAACAAGCUCUUCACCUUCUGGUUCCUGCAUAGAUCAGACAAUUGGAGGCUAUAGCAGCAUCAGGAAGAAAGAAGAAUCAGUGGCAGAGACAAGGAUCUCCUGCAAACAGGAGUUCAUACUGAGGACCUACAAGGAAUAACAGCCCAGGAAGCUGUUCACAGCGGACUACACCAGCUGAACCAACUCCUCUGCCUCCUGGAAGCUGACUGGGUCCCAGCAGAUCUGAGGGAGGGAUGAGGCUGUGUUGAGAACAUUCUCUCUCCUACUCCCAUCCUAGAGGCUGCCGUUGGUUGGCUCCUUUCCUGUCCUGUCAUGGAAUUUGUGUCUACAAGCUGUUCUAUUUUCAGGUCUCAGUCUGCUGCUAUUCUUCAAAGCCCCACCAAGAUUGGACUGUUGAUUCUGCUACUACCACCUAAUCCUCUCAACAUCUACGUCAGAAAGAGUGAUUGGAACCAGAGGAUCGUCUCCCCAGCUCCCACCUUGCUACCUCUGAAGAAGACUAUGACUGUCUGCAGGCUGUGAUGCUAUGGAAACCAUUGGCUUCCAGUCAAAUGAGACCUAAAAAUGGGUCCUUUGCAAGGAUCUGCUACUACACUGUGCCAUCCACAAGGCAACUUGUUACAAAGGUGAAUUAACAUCAUCCCCAAGGACAACUGCUGUUUCAAAUAGUAUAUUUUAUUUCAAAAUAAGGCUGGGUCCACAAGAUCCUCUCUGCUCCUAUUUUAA
Mesocricetus auratus (golden hamster) is the source of this 794-nucleotide long non-coding RNA. RefSeq lists it as uncharacterized. NCBI's taxonomy places the organism in Eukaryota, Metazoa, Chordata, Mammalia, Rodentia, Cricetidae. The transcript has 3 exons. The record is from RefSeq and is a predicted model, not a curated record.